This 859-nucleotide long non-coding RNA is filed under the name Phoenix dactylifera (date palm). RNAcentral describes it as "long non-coding RNA (PDAC_LNC016480)". The record is from RNAcentral. Lineage: Eukaryota; Viridiplantae; Streptophyta; Magnoliopsida; Arecales; Arecaceae.
CUUGUUUCUGUCAUUUUCUUAAUGAAGCCACAACCCUUUUCUUAUUUUUUUUAAUAAAAAAAUCCAAGCUAUUAUAAGGCCCCUAACAUAGCUCCUAUACCUAACCACGGAACCUCAAGUAACACCCGUAAUAUCACUCUCAAUGGUCCUUCAAAGCGGUGUAGUUAUGAAUAGAAAAUGAAGGUAAGCUUUUGUGCAAUUUCUCACGGUUAACAAAUUUAACUUUUUUUACCAUCUUCUUUCCAAAGGAAUAUCUUCUGUGCAAAAUUCGCAAUCUCAAUACCAAAUACCAUAUCAAUACCUUAUCGGUUUGGCUUGGUUCGGUACGGUAUGGUAUGGUACACCUCUAUACCAAAACAGGUCUCUAGCCAUUUUUCUCAAUAUUUAUCUCGGUAUAUCUCCAAUACGAGCCGGUACGUACCUCAGUACGCCUUAGUGUGGGGCAGUACGAGGCCUGUAUUUUGACUUCAAGUGAAGUUUCGUACCGAUUUUCUUCCGAUACGAUACGGUACACCCCGUAUAGGCGGUACGGCAGACCAUGCUUCUCUACUAAUGUAUUCCUCUAAAAUCUAUCUCAACAUAUAUCUUUUUUCCCAAAGUAAUUGUGAAAAUAAUAUGCAAUAUUUUCCUCUAGUAUCCUUAGGGUUUUCGUUUAUGGAAACAAGGAUUUCAAUCAAGAGAUCUUGACCAGUACAGUUGGAAAUAUGAUUUUCCACUUGGCACAUAAUAAAAUAGCAAUAUUCUCCUUGUAUCCAAUCUUCUGUAACUUGUCAUCCCCCACGAAUCUAUUUUGUUCUGAAUUAUUUCUAGUACACAUUUUUAAGGGUAAUAAUAAUGUCCUUCAUGAUUAAGGAUAUUC